GCGGCCGUAGUCUAGCCUGGUCUAGGAUGGCGGCCUUCCGAGCCGCAGAACCCGGGUUCAAAUCCCGGCGGCCGCACCA
RNAcentral lists this transfer RNA (79 nucleotides) under Thermoprotei archaeon ex4572_64. RNAcentral describes it as "tRNA-Gly". It matches the Rfam family "tRNA". From Rfam's summary of the family: Transfer RNA (tRNA) molecules are approximately 80 nucleotides in length. The record is from RNAcentral. RNAcentral also lists the same sequence under 1 other name. Lineage: Archaea; Thermoproteati; Thermoproteota; Thermoprotei.